GGGGUUGUAGUUAAUAAUAACAUUUAAAUUGCAAUUAAAAAGUACUAAAUAAGUCUUCCUCA
RNAcentral lists this transfer RNA (62 nucleotides) under Aphelocheirus jendeki. RNAcentral's name for it is "tRNA-Ala". Lineage: Eukaryota; Metazoa; Arthropoda; Insecta; Hemiptera; Aphelocheiridae. The record is from RNAcentral.